UCAAAUCUUCAUACUUCAAGAACAAUACUUUUUCAGGUCUCUCAACAUCAUGACUUGCUUCCCAAUAUCCCAACACGUGAUUUCCGUAAGGUCCAUAAGUUGCUUUGCCUUCACAAAACCCCUUGAAUUGGUGUAAGAAUAUUUGCUACUGAUUCAUAUUGAUCAAAUAGCUUUUGAUUGAAUCUCCACAAAGAAACAAAGGUAUCUUUGGGUUCUCUAUAUAUAUAAAUGAUCUUGCAAUUGGAUUCUAGUAUGGAUGGUGGUAAUUGAGUGUAAGGAACAUGUGUGGAUAAUAAUGGUAACUCUGUGUCUAUAAAUUUAGGGUUGGAGAUAAAAUCAACUUCCAAAAAGGGUAGGCAAUCAUGGGGUACCUUAUUGAGUAAAGGGUUAUUUGUAGAGUCGUCAUCAUGAAAAUAUGCCUAGUCAUAAUGGAAAAGGUUAAAGCUUUAAGCCAAGUGGUGCUUGUUUUCAUAGUACUGCAAAGGAAAAUAUCAGAGGGCUGAGCCUUGAAGUUUUCUUGCAUAUAUAAAAUUACUUGGAAGCAUUCAUAACUAGGAUAGGAAGGCUCUAGUUUGGGGAGGGUUGAUAUUAUAUCUUUGUAUUUUUCACACAUUUUCUUAAAAUUUUCUGAUCCAUAAUUUACGGAUAAACGACUAGAUUUGCAAGGAAAAAAAUUAGAAAACUUCUCUAUUGAUAUGAAGGAGAGUUUUGGUAGUAUAUAUAUGGCAAAAUGGUUCAGUGGACCCUUGUACUAUGUCCGUCAUCUCGAUCCUUGAACUCACUAAAAAAUAACAUUUUAAAUACUUUUUCGGUGAGUGUAACACACUCGCCCCACGUCAGCUGCCAUGUCAUCUUCCAUUUCUUCUUACUUUUUGCUGUUCUUCAUUCUCCAUUUUUUCUUCUUUUUCUUAUUCUUCUCCCUCCUCUUCUCCUUCUUUAAUAGAAUGAGUAAAUGUUUUUUAAUGAGUUCAGGGGUGCAAAUGACAAACAUUGAAUACUUUUAAUAAAUAAAAGUAUUCACAUUACAAAACAGACAUAGUACAAGGGUCCAUUAAACUAUUUUGCCUAUAUAUAUAUAUAUAUUGCAUGCAAGUCCUUUGCUCAUUCAUGGUUCUACAGUAUAUCAUUAAUAAUCCUAUCUCUACCACUCUAUCUACACACCACAUAUUCAUACACCCUUUUAUCUUGUUGCUUUCAUUGCCAACAAGGCUUCUAUAAUAUCAGGAUAAAAGCAAAGGACCCACCCUCAAGUAUUGAAUUAUUGAUUCCAAAAAUGAAUUGGACCAGUGCGGCAGGCCGAUGACCAAUUUAACAGCUAAUUGAUGGAUUUCUAAUUUAUUGUUUGGUUUUAUGUUAUACAACUCUGAAUAAUUACCGUGGUGUUUGAAUCACUGUAUUAGAUGUUUGGUUCUAGAUUAAAAGUGUGAAUAGAAAAUGGAGGGAAUUAAGUGGAGGAAAAAAUUGAGAUACUAAUACUUAAAAAGGAAAGUGUAGUAAAAAAUAAGAAAAGUCUACUAAUUCUCCACAUUGGUGGGAGAAUGAAACUUUUAUGUGUUUAUAUUAAGAAACACAAACUCCACAUGAUAAAUGGGCAAGAACUAAAAGGUGCCUCGCGCUGCCGUUGUUGUUGCUUGGCUUCGACUACGCACUAGUGUUUUGUUCCUCUUUCGAAUGGACAUACAUGACUAUUCAAAAAAGAUACACCUUUUCGAUGAAUCAUUUUCUCCUUUCCGAAGAGGCAUUUUAUGGAUAUAUAAACCUGUAUUUUUUCACAGGUUUGGCACAAAAUUUUCAAAUAUUAAACAAUAUUGAAGCUAUUUUAUUUUUUCAAAUAUUAAACAAAAGAGAAAAAUUGAAAAUGGAAUCAAGAGGAGCGCUCUUCUAACUAAAACUUAGUUACUUAUUAAACUCUCCAAAAAUAUUAGGGAAAUUUACGUAAAUCCCGACAAGUUUACUCAUAUUUAUAUCUUAUCUUGAUUUUUUUCAAAAUCUCUUAAAAUUUUAUUUUUUUGAUUUGCAGAAACAUAUAAAUUAAGUGAGAUACAAGUUAAUGAUACAUCUUAUUAUUUAACUGAUUAGCUUAAAUUAAGGGAUGUAACAGUUAUUGAAAUAUUUAAUUAGCAAUUAACUCAUCCAAUCAUCUAAUUAACUAAAAAAAAUCCUUUAAAAGACAGUGUAUUGUUAUCAAUUAAAUUUUUUUUACAUAUUCAUCUCCAUAAUCAAUAUGCAGAUUCAUUCUUAUUCUUCUCUUUUUUUUUUUUCGUGCUAUUGAUUCGUUCUUCAUCUUUUUUUUAAAAAAAAAUGAUUUUCACUAAAGUUAUGUAUUUAUUUUUUAUUUUUUUCAAUCAAAUUUAAUUACUGUUGUGACACAAUAUUUUUAUUUUUCAAUGUUAGGAAGCAUAUCGCCAAUUUUGUACGGUGUUGUUGACACAGAAAAAUGACAUAACAUUCACAUAAUACUACUUUUAUCUCUUAUAAGAGAUAUACAAUAUUUUGAAACAUACAUGUAUCUACAGUAAUAUCUACAUUUUCAUAUGUAAGAGAUACAUACUAAACAUAUAAGAACCUUAAAUGUAUCACUUCUUGUAAUAUAACAUGUAUCUCUCUUAUGCAUUUUUCACCCUAAAUAAAACAAUACGAGAGAUACAUACUUAUACAAUGUUAGAUACUCAGAGAUACAAUAUAAAAAAAAAAUAAGACGUAAUCAAAUAUGUAUCUCGGACUAAAAUAUAGACAAUUAACAAAUAUUAAAUACCUUUAGAAAGGCAUCUGUAGUUGUAGCUUCAACAACUCUUCUUCUUUUUGCACAAAUUAUACCUCCUGAACUGGUAGAUCCUCUUUUCGUAGAAGCACCCAUUACUAAACCUUUAAUAAAACACUGAUACAAUGUUGGAUUGGAUUUUGAAUAAACUCACAAAGAAGAUCAUUCAAACAUUGGAGACUAUACGAAGAUAAUCCCUUGAUUUCGAAAUUGUUUGAACAUAUAUCUACUUGAUGGAGUUCACCUAUUACCUAUAACAAGAAUUCCUUUUGAGGGCACUCUCGAGUAUCAAGUAUGGACGUAAGUGCAGGACUCUCCUAUGCCCCCAUUCAGUAGAAAGAACAGUUUAAGAGUUGUUUCGAAUUAACUGAUGCAGGUUUAAUUUUUUGAAGUUUACAACUUUUAAACACAGGUUUAACAAAUUAAAUUAGAGAAAAAAAUAAAGAUGGAAACUACCGUUUAGCAAUUGUUCAACACUAAUAAGAUGUUAAUGAAGUUGAAAUUGGGGACAACGACUAAAAUUUAAAAACAAUGCAAAACUUAGAAUAUCUGUGCAGUUGUUGGAGCAGAUCCAGCUUCAGAUAGUUGUAGCCGUGAAAAUAGGGUAUAUAAUGGAUGUAUCGGGUGUUUUGAGUGGAAGGAGGAAAAAAAGGAAUUUUUGUAAUUUUAAUACAUGAUAUCCCUUUGUUUCGUAUUAGUUGGCCCAUAUGGACUUGGCACACCUGUCACACCCCUUUUUCACUCGAGGUUCAAAUGGAAAGAUUUUUUCAAUUAAAGUGACGAUAUUGAAUAUGGAUUAUUUUCUUUACAGAGUCGCCACUUGAAAUUGAGUUAUGGUGUUUCAAGUCACCUUUUUGAAUCCCUAGUUAAAAGAAAAUGACUCUUAUUUGGUCUGCAAAAACAGAAGAUUGGGUGAGGAAUCUCGUGGUUCUAGUACGGUCGCUUUAUUGACUUUUACUUAACUAAAACUAUUUUUUAUAAAUUAUGUUAAGGCCUAAAAUUACUCAUUUUUUAUCAUACCGAAAACUUGUCUAUUAUCUUAUAUUUAAAUAAAUCAAUGAAAAUUAAUUUUAGAAAAAUAUUUGUCGAGGUGCAUUAUUGCAUCCUUGAAUUAUUUUUAAAUGUCUCAAAAAGAUGAGUACGCGCAUUCUUAAUUGAGACGAAAAUUUUAAACGUGCCUAAAAUUUGUCUAAUGUUAAAGGCUUACCUACUCGAAAUAGCAUCUAACUUUAACAAUAAAUUUGAGCAAAAUUCAUUUUAAGAUGAUCAAUUAAUUUAAUAAAUAAAUAAUUAUUAAACUUCAUUAAUGAUAAUAAAAUAAUAUAAUAGUAAAAAUAAUAAAUGAUAAAAAUAUACAAAAAUUACUCUUAUUAUACUAAAUUUUAUUAUGACCCCAUUUAUUCUUUUAAAUUAAUACAAAUUCAAAAACCACUUAAAAAUAAUUCUUUUCUUUAAUAUAUUUAUAUAAUGAUUAAAAAAUAAUUUUUAAACAACCAAAAAUUGGACAGUUUUUAAAUAUUGUGCAGAAUAAACAUCAAACUAACUAAAAAAAUGUUAGACUGCUUUUUUUUUUUUGAAAUCCGGCAAUCACAGCGGCUGUAAGGUUAGCCGGUCGGAGAGGGAGGGGAAGGAGGAAGAGGAAAAAAGGGGAGAGGUAAGUGGUAGCACUGGUUUUAAACGUUUUUCAACAUGGGAUUCGCCGGUGAGGGCUGUUAGACGCCGAAAAAAGGAAAGAAGGGUGGCGAAGGUGAUUCUAGUGGCAGUUCACCAUUUUUCGGUGAGAGAUCUGGCGGAUAUGGUCAAUUUGUGGUGGUUUUGGACGGAAUGUGUAAUGACCCUUACGAUGUAUUUUUUAUAUAAUUUUAGUAUUAUCUAAAUUUAUCGUGGAUUAUAUAAUUUAAUUUGGCAUUUGAUAGAAAUAUAAUUUAGUAUCCUUAUAGAAUAUAUUUGAUACUGAUAAAAUUCUUUAAGCGAUGAUAUAUUUAUAUUAUUUUAUAAUAGAAUUUUAUGAUUUAUUAAUAUUUUAAGCGGAGAUAAUAAAUUUAGAAAUGUUAAAAUAUUAUUUUUAUACAAUACAGGUUUUAUUAGAAAUAAUUUUCUCUAAUAAUUUUUUAUUAAUUAUGAUAUAUUCAAAAUAUUACAAUUUAUGCAAUAUCCAAAUAUAUACGUGAUGUAGAAAGCUAUUACUUAUGGCGAAUUAUCACCACACGUGGGAAAAAAUUCUUGACAUAACAUGGUGUUAGCUUGGCAGCCAUACACUUGCCAUUUGAAAAAGGUCUUUACCUGUUUUAUAUAUAUAUUCACACUUAUGUAUUGACACAACCAUUAGUAGUGGUAUUAUGAAAUAGAUAUUUCUUUUUCAAAAGGCAACCGAAGUGCUUUUAUGCAUGUACUGCUCGUUUAUAUGUAAUCUGUAGCCAAGGUUUUGGGCGAAAAUAUUUUGAAACCAUUGGAACAUCAAGCAAAAAUAUAAGUUAAUUAUUCGAAUCAAUUAUUCAAAUUCGGAUUUUAGCGUGAUAUUAUUCGGAGGUUUCGGGGCAGAUAUUCUAGCUUUGGCGUUUAGGUAGGUUAGGUUUACCCUACUUUUAGAUUGAGCUUAUAUACCGAAAUUGUGAACUAUUAUGCUAGCGUUGAAUAAAUACUUAUAGAUGCAUAUUAUUUGAUUUAUAUAAAUUGUCUUAUUUAUCCGGAUUAAGGCCUCGUUCUAGUAAAUAUUUAAAUAUUAUCUUUUAACAUAAUAUAGCAUCUAUUACUUUAAAACAUGAAGUUAAAAUGCAAAAAUCUUGAAUUUAUCCCUUUUUAAUUAAGAUUAAUAAAUGAUUAUUUAGACAUUUAUAUUGUUAUGAUAUGGAUUUUAAUAUUAUCGGUGGACUAUGAUUACUAUGAGUUCUGAUUCGAGUCCGGCAAUUGACUAUUAUGAUUACUAUGAGUUCCGGUUCGAGUCCGGCUUCUGAUUAUAGUUGGGGUUACUCUGAGUUUCGGUUCGAGUCCAGCAUCUGAUUAUUUAUGUUUACUUUCACCACUUGUGUGUCCCACCGGCUUAUGGGGGUACGGUUGGAUUAAUUGUCUUCUUCAGUGUGUCUAGUUCAGUGUGUCUAGCGGGCUUAUUGGGGCUCAGUUAGGCUAUGUUUGAUUUAUUUGUUAUUACUACAUUAUUAUUUUUUUGUAUUGCACAAGUUUAUUCCUUUACAGCCGUUGCAUAGCUUGGUAGUUGUUUACUUUUCCAUCCCUACUUACUAAUGACUCAGAUUAUGCCCUCGCAUUGUAGUUAUACCUUUUCUGUAUUAAGCUCAGUCGGCCGAUGAUGCUUACUGAGUACCUGUAGUUUUUGGUACUCAUACUACACUUCUGCAUCUUUUUCCUGAUGCAGAUCUAGGUACUAACCGUCGGCGUUGACGCGGUUCCUACCUUUCAGUGCUGGUUUAGAGCAGGGUGAGCUUACUGUCGUCCGAGGCUACUCUAGUUAGUCUUUUUCACUCGAGACUACUUGUGUACAUUUUAGAUUUUUGUCUAGUACUCUGGGUACCUGUUAGUAGUGGCUCUAAUACUGACUUUAUCAGGUCUUGGGAGAGAUUCAUUUUUAUAGUUGGUCCUUUUUUCUCCUCUCGUUUUUUAUAUAAUACAUAUGCUUUCUUCUUAGUUUUCACUUAUUAUUGAGGUUGUUAUUAUCAUAUGCGAUCUUUUAUUUUAUCUCUGCCUAAUAGCCCAUUACCUAUCAUUCCGGGCUAUGGUUUGGCUUGCCUACUGGUGGGAUAAGGUAGGCGCCAUCACGAUUUGAGAAAUCGGGUCGUGACAAAAUGAUGGAUUACCGGCGAGUUUUCACCGGAAUUGACCUUUACGGGUUGGAUUUGUGGGUUUCCCGAUAGUUUUCGGCGACAGAGUUUUCCGGCGACUUCUUGUCGGAAAAACGAACUCCCCAUUCGAUUUUUUCAUUCUUUCUCUCUCUCUAUUAUUUAUUCCCCGAUUCUCUAUGUGUUUUCACUAUUUUUCAUAUUCUGUACUUCGUGUGUGUGUGUAGAUGUUCAUCCCAAAACAAAAAUGGAGGUUGUGUGUGCUGUGUAAAAAAAAUGAAAGUGUAUAUUUGUAAAUUGGUCUCUGUGAAUAUGUGUUGCUAUUUGCAAGUUUCCCCUCUGUAUUAUGUUACCAAAUGUUCUCACUGUGCAUGUAUGUUCAUUUUUAUUUUUCUACUUUUUCUUUUUUAUUUCUUUUCUUGAUUUGAUAAUUUUAACACACAACAUUUAAACAUCCAACAUAUCUACAUACAAAUACAUUAAGCAUUCUGUAACUUGAUUAUGUAACGUGCAACAAUAUAAAAUUUGCAUAAUCAAUUAAUUAUAUAUACUGCUUGAGACCAGUUGAAUAUUCCAUUCAUACUUUUCACAGGAGAUUUACAACAUUAACAGAAAUAAGAUCAUAAUAGAACCUGUAUGCCAACUUAAUUGAAUACAAAAGCAAGAGGUUAUCACCGAAAACUUCAACUUUAACUUUCUCCUUUUCUCUCUUUUGUUUGAUAUUUCGUUUUUCUGAUUUUUCACUCUUUCUCAAUCCUUCUCUCUGAUUUAUUUUAUCAGACACUGAUGUUUUCUUUCUGAACAGUGUAGGCAGAAAACAGUACGUAUGUUUUUUCUCUGGGUUGUCUGGGGUAAGAAGAGUCCUUAAAUAGGAAAAAAUUGGGGGGAACAGUUACAUAAGAUAAGGGAGGGGGUUUAAAUUUUAAUUUUUUUUUAUAAAUAAUAAUAAUAAUAAUAAUAAUAAUAAUAAUAAUAAUAAGUACGUAUGUUUUUUCUCUGGGUUGUCUGGGGUAAGAAGAGUCCUUAAAUAGGAAAAAAUUGGGGGGAACAGUUACAUAAGAUAAGGGAGGGGGUUUAAAUUUUAAUUUUUUUUUAUAAAUAAUAAUAAUAAUAAUAAUAAUAAUAAUAAUAAUAAUAAAAAUAAAAAAUAAAAUAAUAAAUAUAAUAAUAACUAAUUAAUUUUUAUAUUUAAGAAAAUACAAUAACAGUUUAAAUAACCAAAAAUAAAUAUAAUUAAGAUAGUACUAAAAAUACUAGCUUAUUUAUUUAAAAUUUAUAAAGAAAAAAAUAUAUUUUAAAUUUUGAAUUAUUUUUAAAAUAAAAAUAAAAUAUCCCAAAAAAUAACUUUAUUUAUUUAUUUAUGGCAAAAUGGUUCGGUGAACCCCUGUACUAUGUUAGUUUUGUAAGUUGGACACUUCUACUGACAUGUUUGUCAUCUAGAUCCUUGAACCCAUUAAAACACAACAUUUUAAAUACUUUUUUGGUGAGUGUAACACACUCUCCUCACGUCAGCUGUCACGCCUGUCACGUCAUCUGCCACAUCAUUUUCAAGUAUUACAUUAAAUUCCAAAUCAUUUUUAAAAUACUACAUAAUAAAUUAAAUAUUAAAAUUAAUUUAUUUAAAUAAGAAAAUUUUAUAAAUUGUAGAAAAAUUUGAAUAAUAAUAUUUUUAUUUUUUCUCGCAAAUUAAACAUCAAAUUCAUUCUAAAUAAUUAAAAUUCAUCUCCAACUAAUUUAAAUUUUUAACUAUAAAUUCAUAUAUACAUAAAUAAUGAAUUUUCAAUUUUUAAAUUUGAUUAUCUUUCACAAAUUCUCACAAAGUUUAAUUUUUUCAAGCGAAAUUCACUAGUUUUUUUUCAAUAUCUACUAUCACUUACUUUCAAUUCAAAUUUAAAUUUUAAUAUCCCCUAAAAUAAAAAUAUUUCUAAUUUUAAUUUUAAUUUUAAAAAAAAUAAAAAGAUUUGAAUUGAGAUGAAAAAUUAAAAUAAAAAAUGAAGGUGGUGCGGGGGNNNNNNNNNNNNNNNNNNNNNNNNNNNNNNNNNNNNNNNNNNNNNNNNNNNNNNNNNNNNNNNNNNNNNNNNNNNNNNNNNNNNNNNNNNNNNNNNNNNNNNNNNNNNNNNNNNNNNNNNNNNNNNNNNNNNNNNNNNGGGCGCGGGGAGGGGGCUGAAUGAGGGUGAAGGGUGGGGUGGGCUGGAUGGGAGGGUACUUGGGAGGGGGCUUUUUUAUUUUAUUUUUAAAAUUUAUUAUUUUUAAAUUUUAAAAUAUAUUUUUAAAUUAAAAAAGAUAGAGUGUAAAAAAGAUCCCUUUUUAUUUUUUUUAAUUUUAAUAUUAUUUUUAAAUUAUUUUAAUAUAAAGUUAACCAAAAAUUGACCCCACACUCACCCUAAGCGCGUAUGCACGCGCCUCAUCCUAGUCAGCCAUUUUAAUGCCACAUAGGACCGGUCAACGGUCAAAGAGUAUAAAAUAUUGCUUUUUAAUGGGUUCAAGGGUCGAGAUGACAAACAUGUAAGUAGGAGUAUCCACAUUAUAAAACGGACAUAGUACAAGGGUCCACUGAACCAUUUUGCCUUUCUUUAUUUUUAACUUAAAAUUUAUUUAAAAUGACCCCUUUUUGUGUGAAACCUCAAAGAGUUUUCAUACAAAAAAGUAGACAAGGAGAUGAUUAUAUAUUAAACUCGAGGAGGAUAAAAAAUUACGUGUCUACAUUUUUCCCCUUUUUGUGUGAAACCUCAAAGAGUUUUCAUACAAAAAAGUAGACAAGGAGAUGAUUUUUGAUCCUCCAAUUAUUCAAAAAGUAAGGAUAAAAUAAAAUUAAAAAAAAGAUGUGACCGAGUCCUAGUUUUGCACCGUCUACAUAUCUCGAAUUAUAAAGGAAUCAGGUCACGUGUAGUUCAAAGGUAAAAUGGUGAGAGAAAGAGUUAGAGGUCGAGUGAGGUUCCGUCGAGUUUCCGGUUCACGACUUUUGUUUUUUACAUCCAAAUGACUAACAAAAAAUAAAAUAAAAUAAAGAUACAAGUGAAAGAUCAUAUUUGUGCUGCUUUUCUGGAAUCUUGACUUGAAUCUUCGUAACUUCUCAAAGGGUGAGAUAGUCGUUAUUCUGAGUUGAACUUGACACACGAAAUAUUUCUUCUCGUUGGCUUUUGGCAUUAGAGAGGAACUUGAUAAUUGAUUUAUUCUUCAAAUUUUCCUCUGACUUGAACUUGACAAUCUUAACCCUAUUCUUCAGGCGGGCUCCUGAACUUGCAACUGAUAAUGUUCACCCUAUUCUUCAGGCGAGUUCUUGAUCUGCUAUUUUUUCACCCUGUUCUUCAGAUGGGCUCCUGACUUGCUAUUUCUUCACUCUGUUCUUCAGACGGGCUUCUGAGCUCAAAGAAAAUAGUGAAACAGAAAAAAACAUCCCAUUCUUCAGAAGGGUCCUGUGUAUAAAAUAAAUUUCCAUUCUUUAGGAAGGUCCUGUGCAUAAAAUAAAUUUUCAAUCUUCAGGAGGGUCCUGGACAAAAAAUAAAUUUCCAUUCUUUCGGAGGGCCCUAUCCUAUUCUUCAGGAGGGUCCUUAACAAAAAAUAAAUUCUCAUUCUUCAGGAGGUUCCCAAGCAAAAAUAAAUUUUCAUUCUUCAGGAGAGUCUUGUCCCACUCUUUAGUAGGGUCCUGAGCAAUUAAUUUUUUAUUCUUCAGGAAGGUCCUGUUCCAUUCUUAAGGAGGGUCAUGAGCAAAAAAUAAAUUUUCAUUCUUCCGGAGAGUCCUGAGAAAUAUUAAAUUACCAUUCUUCAGGAGGGUCCUGAGGGAAAAAUAAAUUCUCAUAUUUCAGGAGGUACUUGUCCCAUUCUUCAGAGGGUUCCUAAGCAAAAAAUAAAUACCCAUUUUUUAGGAGGGUCUUGAACAAAAACUAAAUUCUCAUUCUUCAGGAGGGUCCUGAACAAAAAUAAAUUCCCAUUCUUCAGGAGGAUCCUGAGCAAAAAAUAAAUUUCCAUUCUUCAGGAGGGUCCUGAGCAUAAAAUAAAUUUCCAUUCUUCAGAAGGGUCCUAUCCCAUUCUUCAGGAGGGUCCUGACCAAAAAAUAAAUUCUCAUUCUUCAAGAGGGUCCUUUCCCAUAAACACGAACAAAAUUUUUGCCCUAGUUUACAUUAAAAAAAUUUGUGAGUGUAAUCAGAUCAAAACUUUCAAAAAGUACAGUAAAAAGGGUGAAUUAAGCUCCUGCUAAAGAAAUGUGUCUCUUUGGAGUAAAACUGAUGACCAAAUUAGGAAGUGCGUCUUCUAACACAUGAAACUUAAAUUACCCAGACAAGGAAGUGUGUCUCCUAAAGGUUAAAUGAAAUGACUCAACUAAAAAGUGUGUCUUCUAGGAGUGGAGGUUCAAGUUAAAAAGUGCGCCACCUAACAUAUGAAACUUAAAUUACCCAAACUAGGAAGCGUCUCCUAGGGGUUAAAUAAAAGGACUUGACUAGAAAGUGCGUCUUCUUGAAGUAAUGGUUAAAGCUAGGAAGUGCGUUACCUAACACAUGAAAACUGACAUACCCUGACUAGGAAGUACGUUUCCUAGGGGUUAAAUGAAAUGACUCAACUAGAAAGUGUGUCUUCUAGGAGUGGAGGUUCAAGUUAAAAAGUGUGUCACCUAACAUAUGAAACUUAAAUUACCCAACUAGAAAGUACGUCUUUUUGAAGUAACGGUUCAAGCUAGGAAGUGUGUUACCUAACACAUGAAAACUGACAUACCCUGACUAGGAAGUGUGUCUUCUAGGAGUUAAAGGAAAUGACUCGACUAGAAAGUGCGUCUUCUAGGAGUAAAUAUUUAAGUUAGGAAGUGUGUUAACUAACACAUGAAAACUGAUAUACCUUGACAAGGAAGUGUGUUUCCUAGGGGUUAAAUGAAAUGAUUCAACUAGAAAGUGUGUCUUCUAGGAGUGAAUGUUCAAGUUAAGAAGUGUGUUACCUAACACGUGAAAAUUGACAUACCCUAACUAGAAAGUGCGUCUCCUAAGGGUUAAAUGGAAUGAUUCGACUAGAAAGUGCGCCUUCUAGGAGUGAAUGUUCAAGUUAGGAAGUGCGUCACCAAACACAUGAAACUUAAAUUAUCCAGACUAGAAGGUGUGUCUCCUAGGGGUUAAAUGAAAUGACUCAACUAGAAAGUGCGUCUUCUAGGAGUGAAUGUUCAAGUUAGGAAGUGUGUCACCUAACACAUAAAAGCUAAAAAUAUCCAGACAAGGAAGUGCGUCUCCUAGGGGUUAAAUAAAAUGACUCAACUAAAAGGUGUGUCUUCUAGGAGUAAUGGUUCGAGUUAGGAAGUGUGUCACUUAACAAAUGAAAACUUAAAUUACCCAGACAAGAAAGUGUGUCUCCUAGAGGUAUAGGAUGAUAAGUUUCUACCAUGAUUGUGAUUACUAAACAUGUGUAGCAAUAUUGCCGCUUGCAUUUGCAAAAGUGAGGAAUUGCAUCUUUCUGAUAUUUAGGCUUUGAAGCCUUUCAUUUGAAGAUAACAUGUGUUCUUGUUUCAUGUAACGAGAACUUGUGAGUUUUAAAAACAUGGUGGUUGAUUUGUGGCUUUAGCUUUCGAGGUAAUUGCUCUUGCAUUUUUCAUACUCAGCUACAUUUCAAAUCAUUGAUAAGUAUCGUUGACUUGUCGUAUUCUUGACCCUUAAUUCUGACUACUGAAACUCUUGACUCAAAUUGUUUUCUCUUGUCAGAUGCCUCUGAGUUUAAUUUCUAACACACCUUUUAUCUUUUCACGAGUCCAAAACUGUCAGGUCAUAAACAUUCCUGAGUUCCUUGCUUUAUUUUUGAAAUAUGUUAUCUGUGUGCGCCAGUCCUUUGUUUUGCUUUAUACAAUUGAAGAAGUUGGUAGCAAGUUUUGAAAUCCUUCCUCAUUCGUCUUGACAUGAAUUUGACUCAAAAAAUACGUGAAAGAUGACAAUAGUGAUUUAUCAUUUGACAACAAAUAUACAAAAAUAAAAAAUAAAAUAAAAAUAAUUAAAAAUAAUAAAAAGAAAAGAAUAAGACAAUAGGCAUCUAUUUUUUGAAACGACAAAAAAAAAAAAGAAAACAUAUUUGAGUGUGGUAUCCGAUUCCAAUGAUUACGCAUGCAUUUUGAAUUAAAUCACCUGAUCUUUCUAUACUUAUCAUGAUCAAUUUUUUUCCCUUUUAUUGAAUAUGAAACUAAUCCAAUAUUGAACUUGUCCUUUCCAAAUUAUAAUCCUUCUCCCGCUAGUGGCAUCUCAAUGGGUUUUACCAACGAGCCUAUUUCAUUUUCAUUUCUUUCUCUGCUCACCGUCAUGUUAUGGUGUUCAAAUGAAUUUUUAUCGAUAAGACUCUCUCAUUUUUUGUUAUUCACACAACUCACUAUCGUCUUAUGAUGCCCAAGAGGGUUUACACCAGUAAGACUUUUUUUUAAAAGAAAAUGAUGCCCAAAGUAUGAAACAUGAUGCACUCAAACAUGUUUAGCCUUGACAUUCUCAAAGAUCGAUCUGAAGGUCUUUCUUUGGUUGUAACUUAGCUUUUGGAAAGGGUUAGAAGAAAAGGGCGGCAUAAGGCUCAAAAAUAUACAUGACAUUGGGUAAAGUUUACAACUUUCAGAAUCGACUCAUAAAGAAAAUAAUUUUUGCCCCAAUUUUAUUUCAUACUGGGUAACUUGAUUUUUCACUUUGUUGGACCGAACCUCAGAGUAUGGCUGCCUACAUAUCUUUUCGUAUCAAGAAUCAGUUAAAACGUAGUUCAAACAUCUUAUUCUUUUACUUGAUUUUCUUUUUUUUUUUUUUUUCUUUACUUUUUCUUGACUUUUCUCUCUUCUUCUUCUUUUUUUUGAGAGAGAUUUUUCCUGAUUCUAUUUCUUUUCUUUACAUUUUUUUGGAUCUAUUCUUUAUCUUGACACUUUUUUUUUUGAAUUUUUUCAGACUCUAUUUUGAUUCCAAAAUAGGUGUAUGAAAGAAAAUAAAAUUAAAGCACAAAGGGGAUAACAAAGGAUGACACAACAUUUGGAUAGAAGAAUGAAAUGUCUUCGUCAUAUCAAUCCUUAAAAAUGCAAGUACAUAACAUGCAAUGAGAGAGUGCAACAUAAAAAUCAUGCACAUCUUUUCAACAUUGGCCUUGACUGAGCAAGUACACAUGUGUCACUUCUUUUAAGCUUGUGAAAUAUAUAGGCCCAUUUGUGUUGUACUUUCCUCACAACAGAUGACUUUUUUUUUGUUGCUUCUUCUAACCGUGGAGAUUAUAGAUCCUCUGAUUAAUCUUCAUUCAAAUUUCUUGAGAUGCACCUUCUCAUUUAUAACCAAUUUUUUGAUUCACAAAGUGAUUGUCUCAAUUCAUUCAAAUGAGGCUUUGAUUCGGUCUUCAAGCAUCUCAAAACUUUACUUAUUUUCUUUUUUCAAUUUUAACUUCUUGACUCAAUACUUUAGGAUUAGAUUAGAUUUAAAGAUCAGUUUGUGAAUUCAACAUGCAUAUCACUUCACUAGAAUCACCAUAGAAAGAGCUCUCUAAGGAAAAGAAAGACAACCAAACAAUAUAUAAUGAAAAAUAAAAUAAAAAAAUAAAAAGAAGAUACAUUUGUUGACAGAAAGAUAGAAGAAUUUGAAUAGAAAUGAUAAUAAAAUAAGACAAGAUAGAUCCCAAACUCUAACCCUAAAAUAAUUUGGGUAGUAGAAAGAAAAAUAAAACAGACUACCAAAAAUCCUUCCUCGUGGAGAGCAGACUGACUUCUAAAUUGUCGAACUUAAUAUUUUAGCCACUGAUUUGCACAUCGGCCUUAAUGGAGUCUCCACAAUCAUUGCUAGAUCAUCUGUUUUUCUUUUUGAACCCAAUCAUUUUAAAUUUAUCACCGUCAAACUCUCCGCAAAGUAAGUCGUCACCAGUUUCUCUUUCUCUCUAUUCUUCUUAAUUGAUUUCAAAACCUUUUUAGACGAGCCAAAGGAUCACCAUGACCCUUCUACAUGUCCAACUUUGAUGUUUUAGACUCUAGAGACAAAUGAACAUUGUGAAUUAUGUACAAAUUCUUGUAAGGAUUUUUUUUUUAAGUAUUUGCAUGUUCCUCAUAUUUUGCUCCAAAUUUCUCACUUUCUAGACAAUUUCUUCUUAUUCCUCAUUUCUAAAAGUCUACACCAACUCAUCUCAGACCUUAUACCAUUUUUUGUAGAUCAUCUUGCCUGUUCUUUGGACCUGGUGUUGUAUGGAUGAGAAGCCAAUUUAGCCACAAACCAACCACUUUAAUACUAUUUUGGUUUUGGUGAAAACUAAUGUGUCAGAGUUUAAAUUUUUUUUAAGACCACCGAAUCUAUGAAGGACUGCCUACGCAUCUCAUUAAGAUGAGAAUCAGGUGUGCGUAGUUCGUGAAAUAUAUGUCGUACAAAACUCAACAUCAAGGCCCCUAAAGCUUUAGGGCUGUUAAGAUUUAUAUAUAUUUUUUAUUUUGUAAAAACUUAGCCUCAUGACCCCUAAAGAUUCAGGGUUAUUAAGAUAUAUAAAAAUUGGACUUAAGAAUUAGAAAAAUAAUUAUGAAAAUAAUCAUAUUUUCAAAAUAUUCUCCAAUAAAUCUAUGAAUAAUUUUCAAAAGAUAGGGUCGUGCCUCGAAAAGGGCUUCUUUAAAUUGUGAGAAUCAGACCCUCGUAGUUCAUGAAUAUCUUAAAAAACAUAUGUAUAUUUUUAAUUUCUUUGAAAAAUAAUUUAUUAAAUUUAAGGACAAUAUACUCUCUUGUAUUUUACUAAGUUGCCUAAAAGUUGGUCAACAAUCAAAUAGCCUUCCAGACAAAUGUGAAAGAGCACGUAGGAUGCACAUGUUGGUCAUUAUAAAAUAGGUCACCUGUUCUAGAUAGACCCAUCCCCUGUGCCGAACCCCGCUAAGUCAAAUGCAUAUGAUGCAAAUAAAGCAAAACCUAAUCGGAUAACUAGAUUCUGAGUUUCAGUUCUUCUAAGUUUAGCUUAAUAGGGAUAUGUGUCUAGACUGACUUACCCGAGCGAACACUCGAGUCGGGGAGGGACAACUUGUUUAGUAGCAGUGCUACUCCGCCUUUGUUGUCAAUCCGAAACCCGCCUAACAUGUGUAACUGCAAUCCUUCACUAGGUGUCUUGACACUCUGGCUAGCUCGAAAAGAAAGUAGGAUGCAUACGUUGUAUUCCUUAUAUCUUAUUUCAGAGACUCAGAGAGGGAAGCGCCAGAGAAAAUAAUUUAUAAUACAAUUCAAUAAUAUCAAAGCAGUAAAUAAGUGACAAAUAGCACAUAAGACCAACAAACACAAUAUAAAAUAAUUAAAGCAAGUAAAGUCAAUAUCAAAAGCUCGAAUUCUAGUUGAUCCCCAGCGAAGUUGCCAGAGAUGUCACACCCCUUUUUCGCUCGAGGUUCGAAUCGAAAGAUUUUCCCAAUAAAAGUGACAAUAUUGAAUAGGGAUUAUUUUAUUUACAGAGUCGCCACUUGAAAUUGAGUUAUGGUGUUCCAAGUCACCUUUUUGAAUCACUAGUCAAAAGGAAAUGACUCUUAUUUGGUCUACGAAAAUAGAAAACUGGGUAAGGAAUUCUGUUGAUCGAGGAAAAGGUGUGAGGCACCCCUCGAGUCCCGUGGUUCUAGCACGGUCAUUUUAUUGACUUAUACUUAACUAAAACUAUUUUUUAUAAAUUAUGUUAAGGCCUAAAAUAACUCAUUUUUAAUCAUUUUGAAAACUUGUCUAUUAUCUUAUAUUUAAAUAAAUAGGUGAAAUUUAAUUUUAGAAAAAUAUUUGUCAAGGUGCAUUAUUGCAUCCUUGAAUUAUUUUUAAAUGUUUCAAAAAGAUGUGUAUGCCGCAUUCUUAAUUGAGACAAAAAUUUUAAAUUUGCCUAAUGUUAAAAGCUUACCUACUCGAAAUAGCAUGUAACUUUAAUAGUAAAUUUGAGCAAAAUUCAUUUUAAGAUGAUCAAUUAAUUUAAUAAAUAAAUAAUUAUUAAACUUCAUUAGUUAUAAUAAUAAUAAUAACAAAUAAAAAUAACAAAUAAUUAAGAAAAUACAAUAAAAAUAUAUAAAUAAACAAAAAUAAAUAUAAUUAAUAUAGUACUAAAAAUAUUAGCUUAUUUAUUUAAAAUUUAAAAAGAAAAAAAAUACGUUAAAUUUUUGUAUUAUUUUUAAGAUAAAAAUAAAAAAUAAAAUAUUCAGAAUGUAACUUUAUUUAUUUAUUUAUUUAUUUUUAACUAAAAAUUUAUUUAAAAUGACAUAAAAUAAAUAUUGGACGAAAAUAUAAAUAUUUAAUAUCGAAAAAAAUAUAUUAAACUCGGGAAGGGUCAAAAAUUACGUGUCUACAGCACCCAUUAAAAAAAUAUUAACUAAAAACUACACCAUCCACAACUUAAGUUUCACUUAUUAAAAAAAAUUCCAUCUCUCUAAACAUAUUACAAAAAUCUCAUUUUUCUCUAAAAAUACAUAUACAUAGCUUCUAGGUAUAUGUCGGCCCUGUAUGUAUAUGAAUUGGCUUUGCUCUGUAUAUGUCGACCUUGUUAUGUAGAUGUCGGCCUUGUCAUACUUGUUAUGUAUAUGAAUUGGUUUUGUUAUGUAUAUGUCGGUCUUGUCAAAUACAAAGAUUUCUAUGUAUAUGUCGGCCCUGUUAUGUAUAUGAAUCGGGAGAGAGAGUAAAUAAUUUUAAUAAGGUUGAGAUUUAUGUUAUUUUUAUAAAUAUUAAUUAGGUGCUUGUUUUACUAAAUUAACCUUAUUAAUAAUGCUUUGAAAGUAUAAAUGUGAGUUAUAUACUUCAUGUAGUCAUUUAAUAAUAGGGGUAAUUUUGGAAAAAACAUAAUAAAAUUCUCUUUGAUUUUAUAAAUGGGACAACUAAAUUGAAACAAAUAUUUUUAGCAAGAAGGCCAACUAAUAUGAAACGGAGGGAAUAAGCAUUUUAUGAAGUUUAGUAAACUUAAGUUGUGAUUUUGUGAAAUUUUCUAAAAUAUUAAUGGCCUGUAUUAAUGUGAUUCCCCGGAAAAAAUUUUCGUUAAGAUCUCGGAUGAAAAUGUGUUGAAUUCUAAUCUUUAUCGUGAUUAAUAAUUUUUCUGUGUGGAAUUUCUGGAUAUGCGAUCCGUCAUCGCGUAGAGCAUCGAAUAAGCUUUCCAACGAUAUGUGGAUCAUCCAAAACGGACACUCGAGCGAUGAGUUAUGAUCAUUCCGAUCUAACCGUGAAUAGUGGUGAACAGUAAAUGGCAGGAAAAAAAUACUGAGGCCAGGCAAAUUUUAGGGUCAACUUCAAACGAUCAUAACUCCUUUUACAUAAUGAUCUGGGUGAUCUACUAUAUAUCAACAGAAAGCUCUGAAAGUCCUCUUUCCAAUGAAAUUGGUUUCAUCCAAUUUGGCCAUCGGAAAAAAAAAGUUAUGGUCGAUCUACUUCAGUCUAUCAAAACAGUCCACCAAAGGACAGAUUUGACAUUAUUUGAUUUUUAAGGGUAUUUUGGUCAUUCCCACUCCAAUCCAUCCCGGUAAACCAUGGAUUUAAGUCCAUUAAGAGCAUUCAAUAGCUCAUUUUUUCUCCAAAAUUUUCUAAGGCUCAAACCCCAACCCUACUACUCCAAAUUUCAUCCUUCUAUGUCUCUUGAUUGAACCAUAGAAAUUUUAAAUUGAUUUGGGAUUCGAGUUGAUCAUGUUAAGGGCUUCGAGAAGCACCCUCUAUUUUUGUGAAUAAAGUUCCGGAGUCGGAAGUUCAUAUUCAUAUUCCAUUUUUAGGUAUGUGGGGCUUUGAACAAAAUUAUCCUUUCAAUCUUGUGUCCGGUAUUUUUGUUGAAUUACAUUGACAUGAGAUUUUACAUGUUUUACCAUGAAUUGGAAAUAUGGUUUUAUAUCUUAUAUUAUUGUCCAUGAGCUAUGGGAUUAUGUCAUCCGAUAUGUGUAUGAUGUUGAGAUGGAAUUAUGUCCAAAAAGUAUUUGAUUAUGAGAGUAUGAUGAUUUAAUUUGUUAAGCCUUGAUUUAUACUAUCAUUCCACUAUUUCCUUAUUAUGAAUUUAAAAUUGAUAUUGGAAAUUCUAUAUCCCUACUAUGGGUUGAUGUCUCAAGUACCUUUAAAUGAGAAUUGGAUGGCAAAUUGAGAAAUGUUGAUACUGAAGUUGCAAUGAGUCUUGGUAUUUUCCAGAUGGUUUUGAUGAGNNNNNNNNNNNNNNNNNNNNNNNNNNNNNNNNNNNNNNNNNNNNNNNNNNNNNNNNNNNNNNNNNNNNNNNNNNNNNNNNNNNNNNNNNNNNNNNNNNNNNNNNNNNNNNNNNNNNNNNNNNNNNNNNNNNNNNNNNNNNNNNNNNNNNNNNNNNNNNNNNNNNNNNNNNNNNNNNNNNNNNNNNNNNNNNNNNNNNNNNNNNNNNNNNNNNNNNNNNNNNNNNNNNNNNNNNNNNNNNNNNNNNNNNNNNNNNNNNNNNNNNNNNNNNNNNNNNNNNNNNNNNNNNNNNNNNNNNNNNNNNNNNNNNNNNNNNNNNNNNNNNNNNNNNNNNNNNNNNNNNNNNNNNNNNNNNNNNNNNNNNNNNNNNNNNNNNNNNNNNNNNNNNNNNNNNNNNNNNNNNNNNNNNNNNNNNNNNNNNNNNNNNNNNNNNNNNNNNNNNNNNNNNNNNNNNNNNNNNNNNNNNNNNNNNNNNNNNNNNNNNNNNNNNNNNNNNNNNNNNNNNNNNNNNNNNNNNNNNNNNNNNNNNNNNNNNNNNNNNNNNNNNNNNNNNNNNNNNNNNNNNNNNNNNNNNNNNNNNNNNNNNNNNNNNNNNNNNNNNNNNNNNNNNNNNNNNNNNNNNNNNNNNNNNNNNNNNNNNNNNNNNNNNNNNNNNNNNNNNNNNNNNNNNNNNNNNNNNNNNNNNNNNNNNNNNNNNNNNNNNNNNNNNNNNNNNNNNNNNNNNNNNNNNNNNNNNNNNNNNNNNNNNNNNNNNNNNNNNNNNNNNNNNNNNNNNNNNNNNNNNNNNNNNNNNNUUCUUACCAUGAUGUAGGUUCAGGUACUCAGCCGCAGCCGCGACAGUGAUAUCCGAGUGCCGCAUCUACGUUCCUUCAAUGGUGAGUCCUCAUGGUUCGAGGACCAAGUUGUUAGUUUUGGUGUUGUUGUUUUGUGAUCCCUUUGGUCUGUUGAGUCAGUUGGGGGUUUGUCCCAAUGGCUCGUUGAUUUUGCUGUAUAGAGGCUAUGCCAGACUAGUGUAUUGUUGGGUUGGUUUGUGUAUAGACAUUCCAUAUAUGUACAGUCUAACGAUAUUCCGUGCCAUGUGCGAUGUGAUAUGAUAUGUACUUAUAUAUAUAUCCUUAGUGUAGCGUGUAUGUUGUUGUGUUGGAACCCAAGGGUAGUGUUUUGGCUUAAAGGGUUAGCUUGAGGCUACGUGUAGCCUUGGGCACCGUGUGGCAUCUCGGGAUGAUAUUUUGGGGCGUUACAGUUAAAUUCUCUAAAAAGAUACACUAAUGAAGAAGACGCAUUAAUUAGCAAACUCACAAGUUGAACAAGAAUUAGAAAAUUACAAAGAAUAAUGACACAGUACAGGAGAACUUGUUUGUUAAAAAAAAAGAUCAAGAUGACAAGAAGAAAGGAACCAAAAACUGCAUUAAGCAAUGUUGUGAAAUGUGUUCCUUUCUUAUUAUUUUGUGUUAAAUCUGGUACUAUAUUGAAGAAGGGAAUGUCAAUCCCGAAGAUUGAAAUUUCUCCGACGUUAUGUCAUCAAUUGCUUUUGUCGUAUCCUCCGUCAAAUAAUUCUUCCAAUCGCCAAUUUCUCCAUUUCGAAAAAACAUACUGUUAUGAAGUCCCUGAGUUUCUGGCCGAUGCAAGCUGCUUUUGUUCACCUCUAAAUUGCUCAAGCUUUUGAAAUUACAGCGUGCUACGAUUUGUCCGCCAAUUUUUUCACAUAGUACAAUAUGUCCUUCUUCAAAUCUUCAUACUUCAAGAACAAUACUUUUUUAGGUCUCUCAACAUCAUGACUAUGAUUUGCUUCCCAAUAUCCCAACACGUGAUUCCAGUAAGGUCCAUAAGCCGCUUUGCCUUCACAAAACCACUUGAAUUGGUGUUCAAGUGUAAGAAUAUUUGCUACUGAUUCAUCUUGAUCAAAUAGCUUUUGAUUGAAUCGCCACAAAGAAACAAAGGUAUCUUUGGGUUCUCUACAUAUGUAAAUGAUCUUGCAAUUGGAUUCUAGUAUGGAUGGUGGUAAGUGAGUGUAAGGAACAUGUGUGGAUAAUAAUGACAACUCUGUUAGAAUUUUUUUUUUUUUAAUUUAAUUCUGCAAACAAAUAGGUCGGUGGGGAAAAUCAAACUCCCCACCUUGGAAUAGAAACGAUCUUUAUUCUUUUGUCAACAAAAAAGUUAUUAUUCAGUGAAUAGUAAAUAUAGGAUUUCCUAAUUCUAUUAUUUUCUAUAUCAAUCAGAAAAGCGAAUAGAGUUCCAUUACAUAUUGAUUAGCUCACUAAUCAAUAUCAAAUCUACAAAUUUAGGGUUGGAGAUUAAAUCAACUUCCAAGAAGGGAAGGCAAUC
RNAcentral lists this long non-coding RNA (20936 nucleotides) under Capsicum annuum. RNAcentral's name for it is "long non-coding RNA (CANN_LNC000545)". The record is from RNAcentral. Lineage: Eukaryota; Viridiplantae; Streptophyta; Magnoliopsida; Solanales; Solanaceae.